ACCAGUACCGUGAGGGAAAGGCGAAAAGAACCCCGGCGAGGGGAGUGAAAAAGAACCUGAAACCGUGUACGUACAAGCAGUGGGAGCCUCUUUUAUGGGGUGACUGCGUACCUUUUGUAUAAUGGGUCAGCGACUUAUAUUCUGUAGCAAGGUUAACCGAAUAGGGGAGCCGAAGGGAAACCGAGUCUUAACUGGGCGUUAAGUUGCAGGGUAUAGACCCGAAACCCGGUGAUCUAGCCAUGGGCAGGUUGAAGGUUGGGUAACACUAACUGGAGGACCGAACCGACUAAUGUUGAAAAAUUAGCGGAUGACUUGUGGCUGGGGGUGAAAGGCCAAUCAAACCGGGAGAUAGCUGGUUCUCCCCGAAAGCUAUUUAGGUAGCGCCUCGUGAAUUCAUCUCCGGGGGUAGAGCACUGUUUCGGCAAGGGGGUCAUCCCGACUUACCAACCCGAUGCAAACUGCGAAUACCGGAGAAUGUUAUCACGGGAGACACACGGCGGGUGCUAACGUCCGUCGUGAAGAGGGAAACAACCCAGACCGCCAGCUAAGGUCCCAAAGUCAUGGUUAAGUGGGAAACGAUGUGGGAAGGCCCAGACAGCCAGGAUGUUGGCUUAGAAGCAGCCAUCAUUUAAAGAAAGCGUAAUAGCUCACUGGUCGAGUCGGCCUGCGCGGAAGAUGUAACGGGGCUAAACCAUGCACCGAAGCUGCGGCAGCGACGCUGAUGCGUUGUUGGGUAGGGGAGCGUUCUGUAAGCCUGUGAAGGUGUGCUGUGAGGCAUGCUGGAGGUAUCAGAAGUGCGAAUGCUGACAUAAGUAACGAUAAAGCGGGUGAAAAGCCCGCUCGCCGGAAGACCAAGGGUUCCUGUCCAACGUUAAUCGGGGCAGGGUGAGUCGACCCCUAAGGCGAGGCCGAAAGGCGUAGUCGAUGGGAAACAGGUUAAUAUUCCUGUACUUGGUGUUACUGCGAAGGGGGGACGGAGAAGGCUAUGUUGGCCGGGCGACGGUUGUCCCGGUUUAAGCGUGUAGGCUGGUUUUCCAGGCAAAUCCGGAAAAUCAAGGCUGAGGCGUGAUGACGAGGCACUACGGUGCUGAAGCAACAAAUGCCCUGCUUCCAGGAAAAGCCUCUAAGCAUCAGGUAACAUCAAAUCGUACCCCAAACCGACACAGGUGGUCAGGUAGAGAAUACCAAGGCGCUUGAGAGAACUCGGGUGAAGGAACUAGGCAAAAUGGUGCCGUAACUUCGGGAGAAGGCACGCUGAUAUGUAGGUGAGGUCCCUCGCGGAUGGAGCUGAAAUCAGUCGAAGAUACCAGCUGGCUGCAACUGUUUAUUAAAAACACAGCACUGUGCAAACACGAAAGUGGACGUAUACGGUGUGACGCCUGCCCGGUGCCGGAAGGUUAAUUGAUGGGGUUAGCGGUA
Molecule: ribosomal RNA, 1419 nt
Filed under: Escherichia coli
Lineage: Bacteria; Pseudomonadati; Pseudomonadota; Gammaproteobacteria; Enterobacterales; Enterobacteriaceae
Description: partial 23S ribosomal RNA
Rfam family: Bacterial large subunit ribosomal RNA
Source: RNAcentral